Columba livia (rock pigeon) is the source of this 2514-nucleotide long non-coding RNA. RefSeq lists it as uncharacterized. The transcript is spliced from 2 exons. Lineage: Eukaryota; Metazoa; Chordata; Aves; Columbiformes; Columbidae. The record is from RefSeq and is a predicted model, not a curated record.
ACAAUAAUUAUGCCUACUCGUCUUCUAUUAAUUGGAUAGUAUACAAUAAUUAUGCCUACUCGUCUUCUAUUAAUUGGAUAGUAUACAUAAUGAGCUCAACCUUCUUGUGGUUUCUCUGGAAUGCAACCUUCUCACCCUGCUAGAGAUAAUUCCCCAGCUUGUUUAUCUAAACGCUCAGCUGAACCAGAGAGCAACCGCUCAGUACUUUUCAACUAUGCUACACUAAACUCAUGCUAACUGAGGCCUACUCAUGCUAACUUAGAACAGAAUUCUCCUGAUACAACGGAUCAAUAGAGCCAUGUCCCUUCUCUAUUAGCCAUGUCCCAACAAUUCCCCCUUUUUCUCUUUGGGCUAAUAACACUUCCUUGCGAAAAGUAGCAUCAAUUAUCUUUAAGCAUAAUUGCCUAAUACAUGAAAGGCAACACAUACCAAUAAGCAAUAUAAGCAAAAUAAAGGCAAUUCCUACCAAUACUGGUUUAAAGAAUGACAACAGCCAUGAAGGAAAACCUAGCGAGCCCACCACCUAGCGAUUGGAAAGCUAAUCGACAAGAUGCAUUAUUAAAGGGUAAAUGAGCUAAACAAGCAUCAGGUUCCCCCGUACAAUUACAGUUGUUCCAAACAGACACAUUAUACAGUCCUGUAAGCAUCUCAAUAGAUUCAUUGACUGAUAAAGGUAUUCCAAUUAGACACGUCUUGAAUGGCUCUUGAGCUGAAGCGAGACUCAGACAGAAAUUAGGAUUGUGCGUCUUAUUGGCCCAAGUUAACCAAAUGUUCUGUUGCUUCAUCAACAAAUGCGGAACAGCCGUUGCACCAAUGACAGUCAAAAUAAACACCAUCAGUCCUUUAAUGCUGGCCGAGUCCAUUUUGCAGGUAUCCAUCUUGGCCCUGUAGGAGUAAGUACACACAUGUAUCCUCUGCCAAUGUAUUGAACUUCUGCAGGCCCUUUCCACUGUCCAGUUUCUGGAUCUCGAUAAAACACCUUCAUUUGAACAGUUACUUUCUUUGAGAGACCUGAAUGCACUUUUACUGGUGGCUCCUCAUCUGAUCCAAAUAUACAGAGGUAAUUUAAAACAAACAAUGUUUUCAUAACCCUUUCUUGACUGUCCGUGAUAUCUUGAAAUUUCUGCAAAUAUUGCUUCAGCGUUUGAUUCAUUCUCUCUACAAUUGCUUGUCCCGUUGGGGAAUGUGGAAUCCCUGUAACAUGUUGUACUCCCCAUAACUGACAGAAUUUACGCAUCUUCUCACUACAAUAAGCUGGCCCAUUAUCCGUUUUAAUCUGUGCUGGUACCCCCAUUACAGCAAAACACGCCGUCAAGUGACGAAUCACAUGACUAGCUUUUUCUCCUGCCUGUGGCGUUGCCCAUACAAAAUGACUAUAUGUAUCAACUGUAAUAUGUACAUAUUUGAGCCUACCCAUUGAGGGCACAUGCGUCACGUCCAUUUGACAUAUCUCAUUAGGACCCAACCCCCUAGGAUUAACCCCUACGCCUAGACCAGAACCAUGAUGACUACACUGAGGGCAAGUCCGUACAAUUCCCUUAGCUUCCUCUACAGUGAUCUUAAACUGUGAAUGUAAUCCUUUCGCAUUCUGAUGGAACACACUAUGUGAUUCUCUAGCCUUGACAAAAUCACUAACAGGGGCAGAACAUGCUACCAACCUAUCUGCUCUAGCAUUCCCUUCCCCAAGGCCACAAUCCCACAUAUGACUACGGAUGUGAAUCACUGCAUAUGGUUUUGUUCUUCCUUGAAUUAAUGUACGCAACUGUCUAAACAGUUCUCCCAAGCGCAGUUGCUUAACAUCCUUAAUCUGAGAAUUUUCUAUCCUGUGUAACACACCCGCGACAUACAGCGAAUCGGUCACAAUAUUAAUUGUUUCCUCUCUCCACUUCCCCAUGGCCCAUACAACAGCAGCAAGCUCCAAUGUCUGCAAGGAAUCUCCCGGAACAGCUUCCAGCAAGUGGUGGUGCCACUCACCACAAGCGAUCCAGGUAACUGCAGCUCUUCUGGACCUUUUUCCUGCAUCCGUAAACACUGUCUGGGCAUCUUCUAGGGGUGAUUUACUGCGGAGAGGUUUCUGCAUCCAUUCAUUGUGACCAAUAAACUGCACUAUUGCCGCCUUUACAGGAGACAAGGAUAUAGUUGUAGCUGAUGAGAAUAAACACUCACACAACUCCUCGCUAUUCUGAAGAGAGAUCCACCGGAGUGGAGGGAUCGGUUCCACGCAGCAAUGGUCGUAACACCUCUAACUGCGUAUUGGUAAUACCCACGACAGGCCUUAACCAUUGUAAAUCCCCCAUGAGUUUCUGAACAUCAUGAAGUGUCCUAAUAUCUGUGGUAAUAUGCGGUUUUUGCGGUCGAAUUUGGGAGUCAGUAAUUUUCCACCCUAAGUACAACCACGGUUCUUGUCGCUGAAUUUUUUCCUUAGCAAUUACUAAACCCUCCUUAUACAACUGACAAUGUAAAAAUUGCAAUUGUUGCUCAGUAAAGUCUUGUUCUUGUGCAAUAAGAAUAUCA